CCUACGGGUGGCAGCAGUGAGGAAUAUUGGUCAAUGGACGAGAGGCUGAACCAGCCAAGUCGCGUGAGGGAAGACUGCCCUACGGGUUGUAAACCUCUUUUAUAGGGGAGCAAAGCGAUUCACGUGUGAGUCAUUGAGAGUACCCGAAGAAAAAGCAUCGGCUAACUCCGUGCCAGCAGCCGCGGUAAUACGGAGGAUGCGAGCGUUAUCCGGAUUUAUUGGGUUUAAAGGGUGCGAAGGCGGAUGUGAAAGUCAGCGGUAAAAUUGCGGGGCUCAACCCCGUAAUGCCGUUGAAACUGGUUGCCUUGAGUGCGCGAGAGGUAUGCGGAAUGCGUGGUGUAGCGGUGAAAUGCAUAGAUAUCACGCAGAACUCCGAUUGCGAAGGCAGCAUACCGGAGCGCAACUGACGCUCAUGCACGAAAGCGUGGGUAUCGAACAGGAUUAGAUACCCUAGUAGUC
RNAcentral lists this ribosomal RNA (459 nucleotides) under uncultured bacterium. RNAcentral's name for it is "partial 16S ribosomal RNA". It matches the Rfam family "Bacterial small subunit ribosomal RNA", at positions 338 to 795 of the family's 1533-position model. The record is from RNAcentral.